This is an RNA transcript of Solenopsis invicta (red fire ant), 5426 nucleotides long. It is a transcript of the gene named phospholipase DDHD1, with no coding region annotated. The record is from RefSeq and is a predicted model, not a curated record. Lineage: Eukaryota; Metazoa; Arthropoda; Insecta; Hymenoptera; Formicidae. The transcript is spliced from 11 exons.
CACUGUGUGUCAUCGCGCGCACGCUGCUGCACGCCGCUCGCGCGGCGACAGACACCAUGCUCUGCAUCAGCUGAUCGUGAUUGUCUCGAUCCCACAACGCGUCGCAUCGUCGCUGUGGUGGGCGAAGUGUCCGACUCCGGAAAAGUCGCGGACGGAAAGCCGCAUUAUAUAAAGCGCGCGAGCGGGCGCGGCAUGCAGUGUGAGAUACAUACGUAACGGUCAGGUCAGGUCGGAGAGGUUACUGCGAGUGGUCGUCCAUUGUCGUCGUAAUUUACGACUCGCAUUGCUGUCGCGUCACGUCGUGUCACGUCGCGAUCGUCAAUCUCGUCAUACGAAGAGUGCGCGUGAUAACUGCGUGAUUCUUGAUAGCGAGCGCGUUGCGAGUUGGACUUGCGUUCAAGGACGGCCACCGGACGUCGAAGCUGCUAUUGUAGAAGAGGCGGGAACCGACGGAGUGUCUCGUGUGUUCUCUCUCUCUCUCUCUCUCUCUCUCUCUCUCUCUCUCUCACGAUUUUUACUCUUCGUGUUCAAUAUGCCUUGUUCUCGUGCAAAGUUCAUCCCUGCCGGUAAUUCGUCGAUGUGAUAGUGCGCGAGGGUGAGUCACGAUAAGAAUCGGCAUCUGUCGUAUUCUCGUGACUGCCGCCCAUGCACGAGGACGACGAUCUAUUGAACUCACGAGGUUCGAUUGUUCAAGUUCCUUCGGCAGCAUUUGCCUGACUCAGUUCAGAAGAAUGUUCAGUAAUCUGAGCGAAGUUGAGCCAUUUAACGAAACGCCGAUGGAGAUGCCUCUGGAGCGAGAGUCCUGCGAAGGUGAUGACCAAGCGAUAAUAGAAGAAAGUCCAAAGGACAAUAUUGAAACUGAUACUGUGAGUGAAGUGAUUUACGCCGAACCUUUGACUCCUGAGGAAAUACGGUGGUUUUACAAAGACAGCGUUGACAAAAGGUGGAAUGAGUUUUGCGGAUAUGACAGCUUAAGGAUUGAGAAAAUUUAUCAGGAGCGCCAGAACUUAAUUAGCGAGAGUAUGACAAACGGUUUGCCACCUGCUGAGAAAAUUGUAGUCAGAGGUGGCAUGUACGAUGUCGAAAUCGACAACAUGAAAUGCGUUUCAAUAUAUUGGCCAGGCGAAGAAUGGGAGAUUAUGAGAGGCACAUGGUAUUAUGAUGGCAGCUGGAUACCAUUGGAAAUGGAACAUUCCAAAGUCAUAGAAGAAGUACAUCUCAAAUUAUUUCAAAAGGAAGAAAGUAACAAUGAAAAUAUCACAAUGUGUGACACAAAUGCUCCUCAGUCCUAUAAAGUGCUACAUACGGAGCAGUUCUCUGAGUUUCAUGUCGACUGGCAUUCAAUUAAUGAUGUGACAUUAUAUAGCGAAUAUACACCUACUAAACUGAUGCGUAGUGUCACAUCAAAAUUGGGUUUUUCUAAAACAACAGGCUAUCGAUUAAAAAGAGGUUACAAAACUGGUACGAGUAUGGAGGAUAAACCGCGUGAUAUCGACCAUCUAGUAUUUGUCGUCCACGGAAUAGGACAAAAGCGAGAUACAGGGAAAAUAAUACGCAAUACUACGUGUUUCAGAGAUUGCGUGGAUUGGCUUAAGCGGAAAUAUUUUCCAAAUUCUAACCACAGAGUAGAAUUUUUUCCAGUUGAAUGGCGGUCAUCAUUAAAGUUAGAUGGAGACAUUGUAGACGCAAUUACACCUUAUAGUGUAUUGAGCAUUCGUCACUUGCUAAAUACAUCAGCGAUGGAUAUUUUAUAUUAUACAAGUCCCCUGUAUGGAGCCGAGGUCCGAGCUGGUUUGCAGAAAGAGCUGAACAGUUUAUAUUUUAUGUUCGCGAGUCGGCAUCCUGGUUGGCAGGGAAAAAUCUCAAUUUUGGCACACUCCUUGGGUUGCGUGAUUGUAUACGACAUAGUUACUGGUUGGAUAGGACCUGACACGCGACUCUCGUGCCCGCAAGCGCAGGAAGUGUUAAUGCAAGGAUUGCAAUUUCCCAUUGAGAACUUGUUUUGCUUGGGCUCGCCAUUAUCCGUAUUCUUAGCACUGCGCACACGCGCUCCCUCCAAUAGGCUGGAUGUGAUGCCGCAAGGAUUAUGUAAGAGAUUUUACAACAUAUUUCACUGGUCCGAUCCGGUGGCUUACAGAAUGGAGCCACUUUUGGAAAGAGGUUACAGUAAAAUUGAGCCAGUUCUGAUACCACCGUACGGAGGAGUCGACGGUCAACAAAUGCUACAAUCACCUUCAUCAUUGAAUAGUGUUGAUCCGACUUUACCAUCUACAGACACUGAUGAUAAAGAUGAUAGCCUAGUAGGCAGCCCACCCAAUCGUAAUGCGGAUAAAGGUUGGAGCCUUUGGGGUUUAGUGCGAGGCGGCUGGAACGUAAGAGAAGGUCCGUCUUCGCCAACACCAGACUCAAAUCCAUCAAUCCGUCCAGAUCAAGUGUAUAUAAUAUGGAUCCAAACAUCAUGUUGAUGAUUAUUAUGAAAUAUCUCAUGCAAGCAAGGGAUGAACCGAUAAGAUAUGCAGAGAUAACUAAGAAAAAGUUAUUUACACGUUUUAUUUGUACUUGCGUUACAAAAAAUUACAAAAAACAAGAAAGGACCGUAGUAUAUGAGUACGAUCUAUUUUUGCUGAGAGAAGAAUUCUGCAAGGUGACAGCGAUAAUUUACUUGUGGAAAUGCGAUUAACAAAUUCAUAAAAAUAUUUCAACUACUUUCAAAUGUCACCAACAAUCUUUAACGAGUUAUUGAAUAUUGUUGGACCACUGAUCGAGAAACAAAAUGUUGUUCGAAAUUCAAUACCAGCCAGAACAAGAUUAGAAGUGACUGUACGAUGGUUAGCAUCUGGUGACAGCAUGACAUCGAUAUCAUAUGCUUAUCGCAUUGCCCAAUGUACGCUAUCCCAAAUUAUUCCGGAAACUUGUGAAGCAAUUUGGAUCUCCCUAAAAGAUAAAGUUAUAAUUGAUCCAACUGAAGAAAAUUGGAGUACGAUUGCAAGAGACUUUGAGACAAUAUGCCAAUUUCCAAACUGCAUAGGCGCUAUCGAUGGGAAGCAUGUCAUAAUUCAGGCACUUCCUCGUAGUGGUUCGAGCUACCACAAUUAUAAAGGAAAUUUUAGCAUAAACUUGCUUGCUGUAAGUGAUGCUAAGAACCGCUUCACUGUCGAUAUUGGAGCUGAAGGAAGGCAAAGCGACGGAGGUGUUUUUGAAAACAGCGGAUUGCCGCAUUUACUUGCGACGAAUACUCUUCAUGUUCCUCCAGCUACACGUCUAAAUAGUAUAGAUUUUGAUUUUCCAUACGUUUUAGUGGGAGAUGAGGCCUUUCCUCUGAGCAUAUAUAUGAUGCGACCAUACCCUUGAAGUCGACAGUUAAAUAUGAGCAAAAAAAUUUUUAACUAUCGUCUAAGUCGAGCAAGAAGAACAGUUGAAUGUACUUUCGGAAUUAUGGUUGCAAGAUGGAGAAUAUAUCGUCAAUCUAUUAUUGCAGGCAUAUCUACUGCCAUGAAAGCUGUACAGGCAACGGUUAUCUUAAAUAAUUUUAUUAUAAAUAAAGAACUGGACUUACUACUUGCAGAAAGAAGGUGCUGUAUUAUACAAGAAGAGGAACGCAAUUUUCUGGUUACAAGUAAUGGGCUUAUAGUUGUAAAUAAUAGAAACUCUUCGCGAAAAUCUGCAGCAGUAAAAAUUCAAGACAACUUGGCUCAUUAUUUCGAGCAUAUCAAUCCUUUACCGUGGCAGUGAGAAAAAGUUUUAACUAACAACUUUUAAACAUUAUGUACUUUCAAUUUAACGCGUUGUAAUUGUAAUUAAAAUCUUGUAUAUUAUAAUUGGAAAAAAUUUUUUACGAUAUAUUUGUACGUAGUUUGUUUAACGAUAUUCUCCUAAAAUUUAAUAGUGUAGAACUUUGCACAACAAUGUAACAAAUUGAAUGAAAAAAUCUAUUUUAUUUUUUGUAACACAAUAUUUUAUAAUAUACUUCUAUAAUAUCACUCUUAUAAUAUCAGUCUUUUUAAUAUAAUACUAUAAAAUAUAUCAAAUAAAAAAUUUAUAUAAAAAAAGACGUUUCUAUUGCACGUUCUGCCUCUCCAGCAACACGGCAUCCUCAUUUUUUAUAGCCAUAUCCGUGAGUCUUCUUUGCAAGUUUCUGCGUCGUAUGUAUGGCAGUCUGCGUAGAAUAUCGCCAAGUUGAUCCAAAAAACUGUCAGUUACAUCAUGUUUCUGUUUCGAUGUUUUGUCUAGCAUACUCAAAAAUUUAUUUUCGAUAUCAGCUUGCCUUUGCACAUCUGUAAUUAAUAAUAUAUGAUGAAUACCUAAAAAAACAAAACCAAGAGAAAGUUGCUUCUUACUUUUAUCGAUUUUCUGCUUUUUUGAGCCUUGUGACGAACAGGACGAUCUUCUUAAUGAUUAUGAUAAUAAAUGAAUGAUGGAUGCAGAAUCAUCCAGUAUGGAAUUAUCAUCGGUAAAGUUGUCUGCAGUCAUGUCCACUUGCAUACCAUCCAUGUCAGUGUUGGAUGAAUUUGAUUGCAAAAGGGAUUGGAUAGAGCUGACGCUUCUGAAACCAAAACAGUUUUACAAAUUAUUAAAUCCAAUUGCACACAAUUUAAAAUCUCAAAUAAAAAACUUAUAAAACGUAUAAAUACUUACGGUGUUGCCUUUUCCGUAUCAUCGAGAAACCUCAUUUGCUCGUAAUAAGCAAAAGAACUUUUUAUUGGAUGACCGGAUUCCGCUCCCCUUUCAUAUAUGAAUCUCGAAGAUGUUUCCAUCUUUGUUUUGCAGCUUCCAUAGACAAGGAUCCUAUGAUUGUACACAGAAUCCUUUGUUUAUUUUUACAGGCCAAUAAUAUAUUUUUUAUAAAUAAUUAAAGAAUGAUCAUACCAUCAAAUACGUUUGCAAUCUCUUGCCAUAAACUAUCCUUUUUCAAUUUGGUUCUUUCUUUGACCGGAAUAGAAUGGUCCCAUAAAGCCUUUCGUAUUCGAAUCAACUCAAUAAGUAGCUCAUCUUGUAUGAGUGUAGAUUCUGCGGUAGACUGUACAGCUCUUUCCGAAUGUCUUGGUCCUUUAAAAUAAAUAAACAAUAACUUAAAUUAGCGCGAAAUAAUUUAACUGAUCGUUCUGAUAGAUCAGUAAUAUACAAGUCCUACAACCUCAUGUACAAAAUAUACAUUGUUAAAAUUACAUAUUAUUAUGUACUUGUGAUUAAUAAUAAUAAUACAUUUGACUAAUUAUAUCAUUUUGCAAAGUUAUUAUGUCUCAUUUAAAAAGUGUGCACAAAGCAUCAAAUGUAAAAAAAUAUCAUCUGGAUCUGCCUACUCAGCUAUUUAUAUUGAUAAUGGACAAAUCUGGUAAAUAUUUUAGCCAUUAUGUCGCUGAAAUGUUGUUAGCACAAUGCCUUGGUGAUGACAUAAUGGCCAAAAUGUUUAUCAGAAAUUUAACAAA